AAAAUUUCGGUAGGUGAGGUUACCAUAGGGAUACGGGUUGCUGCCGCAGGUUAGUGGAGACACUAUGAGUUGGUUAGCAGAGGACGUCGAAAGUUAAGGCGUACUUUAAUGCAAUUACAUUGCCCUAUGAAGCUAAAGCUUGGACGGUUU
RNAcentral lists this small RNA (150 nucleotides) under uncultured Clostridium sp. RNAcentral's name for it is "M-box riboswitch (ykoK leader)". It matches the Rfam family "M-box riboswitch aptamer (ykoK leader)", at positions 11 to 156 of the family's 169-position model. Rfam says of the family: M-box riboswitch, also know as ykoK leader is described as a metaloregulatory RNA that sense divalent metals and function as a genetic control element of genes related to divalent metal transport in bacteria. It was first reported upstream of the B.subtilis ykoK gene and genes with related functions in other bacteria. The record is from RNAcentral. Lineage: Bacteria; Bacillati; Bacillota; Clostridia; Eubacteriales; Clostridiaceae.